UACGAAGGGGGCUAGCGUUGCUCGGAAUCACUGGGCGUAAAGGGUGCGUAGGCGGGUCUUUACGUCAGGGGUGAGAUCCUGGAGCUCAACUCCAGAACUGCCUUUGAUACUGAAGAUCUUGAGUUCGGGAGAGGUGAGUGGAACUGCGAGUGUAGAGGUGAAAUUCGUAGAUAUUCGCAAGAACACCAGUGGCGAAGGCGGCUCACUGGCCCGAUACUGACGCUGAGGCACGAAAGCGUGGGGAGCAAACAGG
This 253-nucleotide ribosomal RNA is filed under the name uncultured bacterium. RNAcentral's name for it is "partial 16S ribosomal RNA". It matches the Rfam family "Bacterial small subunit ribosomal RNA", at positions 524 to 776 of the family's 1533-position model. The record is from RNAcentral.